AAAAUCACCGGGGGUAAUAUCUCACCGUUCCAGAACCAUCCCAUCUCCGAGAGUCCUAGAAAAGGCUGCAGCCUCGACGAAAGCUUGCACUGCUUCCGCUGUCGAAAAGUAACAUUGACGUCUGCUUCUGCCAGAAUCGUGUCAUCGGCGACAGUCCUCUAUCCCCAGCGGUAUUAUCACUGUCCACCUAGCGACAGCUACCUCGAGUAAACGAUUAAGGAACAAUAUGUUCAAGAAGGCGGCAGAAGCGAAGUUACACCAGAGAUUAUCUGGUGCAGACAGGAAGAAGCUGAAGAGGACUGUUAAAGAAAGGUUCCCCGGAGCUUCCGACGCCGAUAUUGAUGUCUUGCUUCCUCCCAAGGUCGAGUUUUCUGUUGCCAAGUUCCAAAAUCGCGUCCACAUAUAUAGUCUAGAAGGAGGCUUUCCUAUGUUUUUUGACGUCGAUGGGAGAGGAACUGACAUAUUCCCCACAGUUUUUGCACUCUGGAUGGUACCAGAGUUGUUGCCUGCCUUCAUUCUGAAGGGGGGUGAAGUCUCUCGCUAUGUGAUAGGAGGAGCAGACUUGAUGUUCCCCGGUAUUCAUGUUCCUGCUGAAGGUCUGCCCUCUUUUUCAUCUGGGGAACCAUGGGCUGUGAAAGUCCCUGGCAAUGCAUCUCCUAUUGCUGUUGGUGUUACCACCAUGAGUAGCACUGAAGCAUUAAAAGCGGGUUUACGUGGAAAGGCUCUGAGAAUUCUACACUACUACAGGGAUUCCCUUUGGGGAUCAGUAGAGGGUCAUUAUGUGCCGAAUGCAGGUUUUUUGGAAGAUGCUGUAUAUGGAGAUCCUGCUUUGGCAUCAUCUUCACAAACCGAUGGCUCUUGUGAAGGUACUGAAGCUGACGAUGCUUCAAAUUAUGGACAGAAUGACAGUGGCAAUAAAGAAGUUGGGGGAUCUGUCGAUGAAACUACAAGUGAUGUUCUUGAUGAGUCUGGCGUUGUUCUAACAGCACAAACUGAUUCAACUACUGAUGAAAUCGUUUCUGGUGUGAAUGAUUUGAAGGUUGUAAAUGAUAUUUCCACUGAGGAACCAAAUGUGCAACAUACUCUAUCAGCUGAAGAUGUGGACAAGCUUCUCGAUAAAUGUCUUCUUCAAGCCCUACAUACAACAGUGAAAGACAAAGAUUUUCCACUUCCUGGAAGCACUCUAUGGUCAAAUCAUGUAUUGCCUUGUCGGCCUCCUGGCAUGAUGCUAGACAUCAAGAAAUCAUCCUACAAGAAAUUGUCAAAGUGGUUGCAAGCUAAAUCCUCUACUGGACUGAUUACAGUGAGAGAGGAUAAGCACAAAAAAGAGACGGUUUUGUACUCUGUUAACCAUAAGCAUCCAGACUACAUUUCCUUUAAACCAGAGAAGCAACAGGUAGAGAAAAUUGAUCAGAGCAACAAUCACGGUCCAAAAGAAAGUUCAUCCAAUAAAAUGCUUGAAGUAGCAGAGAUAUACAAGCCAAGUGUGCAUGUCAAUCCCAUUUUUGUUACUGUGGGGGCGGACACUAGCAAACUUUACACUGCAGCAGAGGCUACUGAUAUUGUCUUCCAAUACGUUGAGAAAGAAAAGUUGGAGAAACCAACAGAUAAGACUAGAGUGGUCUUGGAUGCAAUAUUAUGCGAUGCACUGUUCAAGGGGGCCAUUAAGAAAGGAACAACAUAUCCAACAGAAAUUCAUAAAAAAGAUAUAGGUUCAACAUUUAUCAGCCGGAUGCAACCUCAUCAUAUUGUAACAAGAGGAAGUGAGUCUGUUGUUUGCAAAGGUGCAUUAAAAACUAUUCAAAUAAUGACAGAGCGACGCCAAGGAAAUAAGAAAGUUACAAGACUUUCUGGAUUGCAAACGUUCUUGUUGGAUGCUGAAGCAUUGGCAUCAGAGCUUCAGAAAAAGUGUGCUUGCAGUACGACGGUGGCAGAGUUGCCUGGUAAAAAAGGGUAUGAAGUUGUGGUCCAAGGUGGAGUCAUUGAUGGCUUGGCAAGACAUCUGAUUGAACAAUAUGGGAUUCCAAAAAAGUACAUUGAAGUACUUGAUAAAACAAGGAAAUGAGAGGCUAGAGCUGGAAGUAACGUUGAUAUGCGAUAAUCGACUGCUUCCCACUGAUUUGCUCAUGGAAAUGACCAAAUUGGUCCAACUUGUUCUCAUCACUUAAUUGCACCAACACGACACGAUUUCUGACACAUAUCCUAGCUACUACCAAUGGUUAUAAACCCAAGUCUUAUUUGGGACUUGAUUAUGUUAAGAUUUUAAAAAGUGGAACGAAUAGAACAACGAAGAGGUGGUUACUGUUGUCGACAGAGAGGGAACUUACGAACCCCAGGCUUAUGAUAUCAAGUAAAGAUCUGCUACUACCAGCACCCGCAUCAUGCAAAGGGAAAGCCCGAAUCAAAAGAUAUGAUAGAAGUUAUUGACGAUGAGGUAUCAAAAUUUGAUUCAUGCAACAAAGAUAGAUUCCUCGUUUGUCUCUUUAGGCUGGAAAAUUGGUUCUAGUUUCAACCACACUGAGUGUUUAUCAACUUUAAAUUUGUUCAUCCCGUGUUUUAGGCCGCCUUGUGUAAAAGAAAAUGUUUGUAGGACAAACCAAAUAUGAUUUUAUCAAACCUUUGAGAGAUUUUCUUACACUAAUGAGUUAUUUCAGUGGUCUUGUUAUUUUACCCCUUGACUUUUAAUCCUAAAGUUUAUUUUUAAA
Benincasa hispida (wax gourd) is the source of this 2705-nucleotide RNA transcript. It is a transcript of the gene named eukaryotic translation initiation factor SUI1 family protein, with no coding region annotated. NCBI's taxonomy places the organism in Eukaryota, Viridiplantae, Streptophyta, Magnoliopsida, Cucurbitales, Cucurbitaceae. The record is from RefSeq and is a predicted model, not a curated record.